GUGGAAGUAAAAGUCGUAACAAGGUUU
Molecule: ribosomal RNA, 27 nt
Filed under: Capsicum annuum
Lineage: Eukaryota; Viridiplantae; Streptophyta; Magnoliopsida; Solanales; Solanaceae
Description: partial small subunit ribosomal RNA
Source: RNAcentral